CAAAGUUCCCGGUUCAAUCACUUAUUUUGCUUGUUUCUGUCUUCAUUCAUCCUUGCAGCUCAUCCUUGUACCUCUCCACUCAGCGGGUCAUGGAGAAGUUGCAUCAUCCAUGUGCUCCAUGGUUGGAUCCAUGGCUCAGACAGUGAAAGAAAGAACAUGCUGGUUGAACCUAAGCAGGAUCCCCUUUUAUAUCCUUUUGAACACCUUUUAUUUUCCAGUUCAUAGGCUGAUUCUGGAUGCUUUAGCAGGGAAGGCAUGAAAUCUUGGGUUUUCUUCUGGCUUUGCUACCGGACCAUCGUGUGGCCUUGGGUCUGGGGAAAAAAAAGAAACAGGACUCAGGUGGAGAAUGAAUGCUUUGAAGAGGUUUCCACCCCAUAACCUAAGUCAUGGUCCCUGCCUGCACACCAGCCUUCUCCACAAUACAGAUCCUACAGCCUGCAGAUGCUUGGGCCAAAUGCUCCUACCUGUGUGCACGCCUCUUUGGGUUUGCUGUCGCAUUGACAACACUGACUAUUCAUGGAAAAGUGUGGAUUCAGACACAAGGAGGCAGAUACCAAAACCACAAUAGGAAAAGUCCUAGCUCUGUGACCAGGCUUGAACUGGGAUGUUACACGAGUACUGGUCUGGGAGAGAACACUUGUCAUCUUGCUAGACCCCGCCUAAACCAAGUAAAAGGACUUGUUUUUAAGCAUCCUCAAGUCCAAAACUCUAUACCUUCCUUCAGAAGAGGUGCUUGGUGGUGUCAACGAGCUCAUGGUGCCCAUUUGACUGAGAUGGAGCGGGCCACACCCAAGGCUGGUGUGCACCACUGGACAUGCCUUCGCUGAAGCUGUGGAGAUGAGGAGGCUCAGCAGUGAGCACACUUCACCAUCUUGUCGAAGAG
RNAcentral lists this long non-coding RNA (883 nucleotides) under Athene cunicularia (burrowing owl). RNAcentral describes it as "lncRNA (ENSACUG00000002165.1)". Lineage: Eukaryota; Metazoa; Chordata; Aves; Strigiformes; Strigidae. The record is from RNAcentral.